AAAACAUUUCUAUAAAAAUAAUUUAUAGUAAAAUCUGCUCAAUGAAAUAUUAAAUAGCCGCAUUAGUGCUAAGGUAGCAUAAUCAUUUGCCUUUUAAUUGAAGGCUAGAAUAAAAGAUUUAACUUCUAAACUAAUUUCUUAUAUUUACAUUUUUAAAUUAUCUUAAAUGUAAAAAGACAUUUUUUCAAAAAAAAGACGAUAAGACCCUAUCGAACUUAACUUCAGUUUAACUGGGGCAGUUAAUUAAUUAUAAUUUUAAUCAUAUUAAAUUUAAAAACAGACCUAAUAUAAUUAAUUUAAUGAUCAAGUUACCGUAGGGAUAACAGCGUAAUAUUAUUUUAAAGAUCUUAUUAAAAAUAAAGAUUGCGACCUCGAUGUUGAUUUAAUUCCCUUAUUCACGCAAUAGUUUAUAAAGGAAGUCUGUUCGACUUUUAAAAAAUUACAUGAUUUGAGUUCAGACCGGUGUAAACCAGGUCGGUUUCUAUCUUUUAAAAAAAUUUUUACAGUACGAAAGGACCUAACAAUUUAAUUAAAUU
RNAcentral lists this ribosomal RNA (536 nucleotides) under Thaumasia velox. RNAcentral's name for it is "partial 16S ribosomal RNA". The stretch from base 190 to 490 matches the Rfam family "Bacterial large subunit ribosomal RNA", at positions 2074 to 2646 of the family's 2925-position model. Lineage: Eukaryota; Metazoa; Arthropoda; Arachnida; Araneae; Pisauridae. The record is from RNAcentral.